GACAAGGGGUAAGUGAGUAUCCCAUGCCUUUCCAAAGUCGAUCACACAGGCUCUCAGCAUAUCUUCCAGUGUUGGGAUGGUCCUCUCACUCUGUCCGUCGUUCUGUGGAUGGUAGGCUGUGCUCAUUUCCAGCCUUGUUCCCAGGGAGUGUUGUAGCGAUUGCCAUAAUCUUGAGGUGAACCAACUAUCUCUAUCGGAGAUAAUGGAUAUAGGUACACCAUGUAGUCGUACGAUCUCCCUAAUGAGCUCAUUUCCAGCCUUGUUCCCAGGGAGUGUUGUAGCGAUUGCCAUAAUCUUGAGGUGAACCAACUAUCUCUAUCGGAGAUAAUGGAUAUAGGUACACCAUGUAGUCGUACGAUCUCCCUAAUGAAUGUUCUCGUAAGCUUCUCCAUCUUGUCAGUUUCCUUGAUAGGCAGGAAGUGUGCAGACUUGGUCAAUCUAUCGACGAUGACCCAUAUGGUAUCAAGUCCACCC
Molecule: long non-coding RNA, 474 nt
Filed under: Lactuca sativa (garden lettuce)
Lineage: Eukaryota; Viridiplantae; Streptophyta; Magnoliopsida; Asterales; Asteraceae
Description: long non-coding RNA (LSAT_LNC000815)
Source: RNAcentral